UGCCAGUAUAAUACUCCUCAGUGGGAAAACUCCUUACAACAGGCACUCGCCCUGCCAUCCUUAGCCUGUGCUCAUGAGGGGAAGGGAUCAGAUCCAUCCGUACUUCCCACCUGUUGCUAACUGAUCGAUCCUGUUUUCUUACACUUUGUACAUCACAAUAUUAUCAUGGGUAAAAUGAAGAGUGUUUCUCAGAAGUAUGCCUUGUGAUUUCUGGCCUGCUCAGACUGCCUGCUUCUUCCAGAUGAGAUGAU
This 251-nucleotide long non-coding RNA is filed under the name Gallus gallus (chicken). RNAcentral's name for it is "long non-coding RNA NONGGAT008163". The record is from RNAcentral. Lineage: Eukaryota; Metazoa; Chordata; Aves; Galliformes; Phasianidae.